RNAcentral lists this ribosomal RNA (253 nucleotides) under uncultured bacterium. RNAcentral describes it as "partial 16S ribosomal RNA". It matches the Rfam family "Bacterial small subunit ribosomal RNA", at positions 524 to 776 of the family's 1533-position model. The record is from RNAcentral.
UACGUAGGGCGCAAGCGUUGUCCGGAAUUAUUGGGCGUAAAGAGCUCGUAGGCGGCUUGUCACGUCGGGUGUGAAAGCCCGGGGCUUAACCCCGGGUCUGCAUUCGAUACGGGCUAGCUAGAGUGUGGUAGGGGAGAUCGGAAUUCCUGGUGUAGCGGUGAAAUGCGCAGAUAUCAGGAGGAACACCGGUGGCGAAGGCGGAUCUCUGGGCCAUUACUGACGCUGAGGCGCGAAAGCUAGGGGAGCAAACGGG